This 484-nucleotide ribosomal RNA is filed under the name uncultured bacterium. RNAcentral's name for it is "partial 16S ribosomal RNA". It matches the Rfam family "Bacterial small subunit ribosomal RNA", at positions 28 to 523 of the family's 1533-position model. The record is from RNAcentral.
GAUGAACGCUGGCGGCGUGCUUAACACAUGCAAGUCGAACGGUGAAGCAGGAGCUUGCUCUUGUGGAUCAGUGGCGAACGGGUGAGUAACACGUGAGCAACCUGCCCCUGACUCUGGGAUAAGCGCUGGAAACGGCGUCUAAUACUGGAUAUGUGAUGUGACCGCAUGGUCUGCAUCUGGAAAGAAUUUCGGUUGGGGAUGGGCUCGCGGCCUAUCAGCUUGUUGGUGAGGUAAUGGCUCACCAAGGCGUCGACGGGUAGCCGGCCUGAGAGGGUGACCGGCCACAAUGGGACUGAGACACGGCCCAGACUCCUACGGGAGGCAGCAGUGGGGAAUAUUGCACAAUGGGCGGAAGCCUGAUGCAGCAACGCCGCGUGAGGGGUGACGGCCUUCGGGUUGUAAACCUCUUUUAGCAGGGAAGAAGCGAAAGUGACGGUACCUGCAGAAAAAGCACCGGCUAACUACGUGCCAGCCGCCGCAGUAA